GUGAAGAGUCCUCAAAGAGAACCACUUAGGAUGAAUGGAGUGCCUGCAGCAAUAAGACCCAACCCAUCAUUCUUCUUUGAGGCCACUCACCACUCCUUGUUACCACUGCUCCUGUCCACACAAUAGGCUGCCCAUCUAGACCUGGACCAGCUCCUGCAAGAAACCCAGCCCUCCCUGGAAGAUAACUGUAUCUGAAAAUGUUGUUGAUCCGAGGGCUGUUUAUACUCAGAAGGAGAACUUGAGAAACCUGAUAACAGAAGCCUCUCUUCUGAGAGGCUGGACUUGAAUUCCUGGGCUCCAGUGAUCCUCUUGCCUCGGCUUUCUGAGUUGCUGGGAUUAUAGAUGUACCUGGGAUAUUGCAUUCAAUUCUGGGUACCGAAUUCUCACAGGGACAAGUAAACAUAAAUCUGCACAGGAUAAGGAGAGCAAUGGGAUUUCAAGCUUUCCACAUAAUGCAAGAUUUUCCCCAAUCUAACAAAUGAUUUAUGGGAAAUAUCAGGUUAGAAGUCUGACACAGGUCUCACUGGGAUGAAACAAAAGCAUCAGCCACGCUGCCUCAACUUCCUUGCCCUUCCAGCCCCUGGAGACUGCCUCUAUCCUGUGGCUCAGGGUCCUUUUCUCCAUAUUCAAGGCCAGCAGUGCAGCAUCUCUCCAACUCUUCUUCUGUCAUCACAUCUUUCUCUGACCACAGCUGGGUAAAGUUUUCUACUUUUAAGGAUUUGUGUGAUUAAAUUGGUUCAUCCAGUUAAUCCAGGUAAAUCUCCCUAUCUCAAGGUCCUUAACUGAAUCACAUUUUGGAUGUAAGAUGACAUAUGCACCAGUGCCCAGGUUCGGGGUGCAAACACAUUUGGGGAUUAUGCCUACCACAUGACCACAAUAUUCUAUUCUUCAACCUCAAUAUUCCAUUCCUUUCUCUGAUGCAAUGGGGUAACAUGUUAGUCUUUACACUAUGCCGAAAAGAUGUCAGAUGAAGCCAUGUGACAGAAAGACCAGGAAAUCUGCAGAGAAGAUAAUCAGAGGAUUCAUCUUUUUGUGCUUCUCCCACCGUACUAGUCUUACUCUACAAGGUCACCUUGUACAUUUGUGCAGGUUGUACACUGCUCAACCCCAGAGUAUGCCCUGAAGUUGCUCAGGGCACGAACUUUGCACCCACACAUGGCAGCCCUGCCCUCCCUAUUUCAGCCACUGGCUCCUGAAAUCAUAAUUUGUCUACAUAUCUAGCUAUUGAUCAUGAUUAAAUUGAAUUUUUUAAGACUAUUUAGAAAUAUUUUCUUUAACUUACACUGUACAUGGAACUUGCUGGUGUGCAUUUAUUGUGAUAAAAUCAGUGGCUCUGUAAAAAGAAAAAAAAAAUAAAAAGAAGAAAAAGAAAAAGAAAAGGAAAGGAGGAAAAUAUACCUUAAUAGCCAUGGAGUGAGAUCACUCGAGCAGCAAGAAGCUUAGAAACAAAUUCCUGUCGCUCAACCUUGGGCUCAUACACAGUGACAUUGACACCAUUAUAACAUCCAGCCCAUGACUGCAAAAGGCAGGGGAAAUGUUUUCCUGUGACAAGAAAACGGGGGCUGGAAUAAAGAGAAGACAAAGGAGCCCUCACAAGAAUACUCCUCAGUUGCACCUACAGCUCAACGAGAAAGAUUUCAGACAUGAAUCCCUGAUAAGCACCAGCUAGGCUGUUAUGUUUAAUCCUUCACAUUUUGAGCAUGUCAUAGUACUCCAUGAAAAAAAGCUUAUUGCAUAAGCUGUUGUGACUCUCCUAAGCUCAUUCUCUUCAACAAUGCAGGAAAUAUAAUAACAGGUAGGUGAUCAAGAAAAUAGAUGUGAUCCAACCAUUAUGCAAGAUUCCAUUUUGUUAAAGGUCAAGACAAAUUAUUACCAACUCCUUGGAGAUACUGUUACAUAGUUGCUGGGGACAAAAGGUUUCCUUUCAGAAGAGCUUCUUAGAAGCAAUAUGUGCUGUGUUUCAAUCUUCAGCUAACUUUUAGUUAAUGACUCUUGCUUUUUCUCCUACCAGCUCUGCUUAUUAAAAAGGAGAAUGGAGUCUGGAGUGUGUGCUGUCAGAAUGAGCAGCAGGGUCAGUCCCUAAUCCCAAAUUGGAUGCCCCAGGAUGCCGGCUACAGAAUGGGGGAAAUGCUUACGUUUGAUUAACCUUCCAGGUAGAGAAAGGGAGGCAGCCAGGGGUCUGCAGCUACAUGACAUGGUAUAAUAAUAGUUUUAAAAUAUGGCAUUCCUAGGAAGAUGCAAGGAAAGUCACAGCAUGUGGUGCUGACUUAGUGUAACAAAUGAAGAAGACUGUGCAUGGACACAAUAGCAAGAAAGCCUUUAAGGGAAGAACAUCACCAACCUGGGCAUUCAUUUUCUUCAAAAUAUUUGCAACAAUAUGAUAAUCCCUUAUGUCUGCAUGGUGCCUAUGGAGUAUAUAAUGCUCCAAGGACACUACUCCAUUUGAUCUACCACUGUCUUUUGUGUCAAAGUGUUAGAAUUGAGAAGCAUUUUCUCUGUUUAAAGAAAAAAAAAUCUUGAUUAAAUUGUUAAUGCAGUUUCUUUCUUUCUCUGGCCUUUUCUUAAACAAUUUCUUUCAGGUAUAAACAGUGAAGAGGGAAUAAACAUCCCUGGGAGAGAGAGGGAGAUGUUGGACUAAUGAGGAGGAAGAAAAAAACUAUACAGUGCAGAAAGACAUCUUUGAACACAUUUCUCUCAGACUGGAAUACUCAUGGAUCAAAGAAAGCACAAGAGUGAAAGAACAUCUUGGGUCUUCUUCCACAACUGGGCUUAUCAAACCAACAAGGCUCUGAUAUCUCAUCCACCUACCAGCAGCAUCUUAAACUUGUCACAACAAACAAAAUCACAGCCUUUUCCUCCUUGUUUACUCAGAGCAGGGCACACACAGAUAUGUAGCUAAUGCACUGUGUCAGUGCUAGAUGCAAUUUUCUAAACCCACUGCAAAAAAUGCUGUCAUUACAACCCUACCCUUCAUGUGAAAACCCCACAAGAAUCAGUCUUCUUUUAAUAGUUGCAAAUUCCUUUGUGUUAAAACUUAGUUUAAUUAAAAUGUCAAAAUAGACCCUGUUCUAGAUAGAAAGCCACAGUGGUAAGAAAUAUAGGUGAGCACUUUUGCCUGAAAGGCUUGGAAGGAGAACUUGGUGGAACAUUAACUCUUCAGUCAUCAAAGGACCCUCUGGACAUUCAUCUUUAUCUCUAAUUUUCUGCAUAACUAUUUGUUACCCUGAUAACCAGCUAUAUAACCAGUAUUAUAGUUUUAUGGGCAGAGAAAGUAGAGAAGCUAGCUCAGCCUCUUCGGAGUGUUCUUGUGUUGUUGAUUUUCAAGGGAAUUCAGGCAACCAACUUCAUUCCUUUAGGUGAUACAGGAAGGGGAAUUUCUUCUUAUUGGUCAGGCCCAAAAUGCUGCAGUUGGCUGGACUCAAACCAUGUCUUAAGUUUGAAAGAGAUGACAAACAAGCAAUCUUAGCCAUCCACAUAACUGUGAAAUCUUUGCAAGGCAGGAAGAAAGAAAGGGGGGAAAAUAAGCACCUGAAAGAGUAUUGUUCCUUUUCUUUUUUAAAAAAAGCCUUGAAAUGUGUUUAAAAAAUAUUUUAUGAGGUCACACUAAAAAAAAAGAGUAAUUGGAAGAAAAAUUCUGCUUGUCUAAGCGAAGAGCACAUUUGUAGCGGUAGGGUAAAUGUUUUAUCGAUUGAGAAGCUGGGAAACUCAAGUCAUUACUCACCAUGGGCUAAAGAAUAAUUGCUAAUGCUCUGGCGGAAAGAUUAAAAACAGUUUCUGGAAGUAUUUCUUACAAUGAUCAAUGGUGUAUCAUCCCAGGCCAUUGGAUCUUCAAUAACAUUUUUCCCUUUUGGGAUACAAUCAAUUUUUAUAAUAUGAUUCAUUUGCCAGUGGGCAUGCUUUCUUCAUACGAUGAAAAGGCACUUAUGCAUCUUAUAUUUUUGAAAAGUAAUCUUAUACAGCCGAAGAUCAGGCUGUGGGAUAGAAGACUCACCUGAAUCCAUCUCUAUUUUAAAUAGCUUUGGGAACUCAUCUAGGUUGUGGGGCGGGAGGGAGGGUCAGAGAGUGGGCAGUAGCUGGCACCUUUGUUAUUGCUUUGUUAACCCUUUAAGAAUGUAUUUAGCACACUCUGACAGCCAUCGUGAUCUUCCUAACAUGAGGAUGGUGACUGAGAGUGCGGUAUUAGAUUUGAGCAUAUGCCACCAUGAGCUUGAAUCAUUUACAACACUAAUUACCCUGGCAGAACUCUCAGGUCAAGGGUUGCCUUGCAGCUGUAUACCGGCUGCCCACAUCUGAGCAGGUCUUCAGCUUCCUGUGGUAGAGCUCAACGUUCUGCUGCUGAAUCCAUCAAUGCAUCUCUGCGUUAAUAAAUAACAGCUUCAGUUAUGAGAGGAUGUGCUUAUCCCACAAUUUCUCCCAGGAGAGAAAAACACUAAAAGCUUGGGCACAGCCAUCUCUCCAGCUCCAGCUUGCCAUUGGACUUGUGAUGAGAAAGAAGGAUGGCGCCAUCACCAGGGUCUGCCAAAUGCAUAGGCCAGGAAAAAAAAAAAAAAAGAGUGAAAGGAGUGGAGCCAAGCUUAGGAAGUGAUAAAAUGAUCUUUUGAUGAGUGACAUGCACCCCACCUGGAAUUUUAUUUGAAUAUGAGAACAAUGGGAAUAGCUUUUAUGAGAUUAUAGAAAGGUUAAUCCACUUUCUUCCUAUUCCAAAUUCUCCUCAUUCAACACCUUGGCUUUCUUUGUAUCCAUGGAACUGAAUGUCUAAAUUAAAAUAAAAGAAAACAAACAAAAAAAUUUAAAAAUGUGGCUCAGAUUCCCUACAUUUCAAAUAUUUCCUUGUUUGAUGGAGAGAUUAACCUAACAUCCAACCUGGAUUCCUAAGCCCCCUUCUGUUUGUUUCCAUUUGAAUGUUUAGCAUUGUAUAGACACAAUCAUUAGCGACUUUUGCAUGUUUCUAGUCUAUUUAUUUGAUAA
Nycticebus coucang (slow loris) is the source of this 4968-nucleotide long non-coding RNA. RefSeq lists it as uncharacterized. The record is from RefSeq and is a predicted model, not a curated record. The transcript is spliced from 7 exons. Lineage: Eukaryota; Metazoa; Chordata; Mammalia; Primates; Lorisidae.